This 435-nucleotide ribosomal RNA is filed under the name uncultured bacterium. RNAcentral's name for it is "bacterial SSU rRNA". It matches the Rfam family "Bacterial small subunit ribosomal RNA", at positions 43 to 524 of the family's 1533-position model. The record is from RNAcentral.
CAGGCCUAACACAUGCAAGUCGAACGAUGCUUUCGGGCAUAGUGGCGCACGGGUGCGUAACGCGUGGGAAUCUGCCCCUUGGUUCGGGAUAACCGUUGGAAACGACGGCUAAUACCGGAUGACGACGAGAGUCCAAAGAUUUAUCGCCGAGGGAUGAGCCCGCGUAGGAUUAGCUAGUUGGUGGGGUAAAGGCCUACCAAGGCGACGAUCCUUAGCUGGUCUGAGAGGAUGAUCAGCCACACUGGGACUGAGACACGGCCCAGACUCCUACGGGAGGCAGCAGUGGGGAAUAUUGGACAAUGGGCGAAAGCCUGAUCCAGCAAUGCCGCGUGAGUGAUGAAGGCCUUAGGGUUGUAAAGCUCUUUUACCCGGGAUGAUAAUGACAGUACCGGGAGAAUAAGCCCCGGCUAACUCCGUGCCAGCAGCCGCGGUAAU